GGCACAGAUACUGCAUAUGCUAGGGCGGAGCCCGGCGGUAUCGCCGGGGAAGCUGGCCUAGGGGCCGGCGUGAUGCUUC
RNAcentral lists this small RNA (79 nucleotides) under Xanthomonas maliensis. RNAcentral's name for it is "rpfG RNA". Lineage: Bacteria; Pseudomonadati; Pseudomonadota; Gammaproteobacteria; Lysobacterales; Lysobacteraceae. The record is from Rfam by way of RNAcentral.